CCUACGGGGGACAGCAGUGGGGAAUAUUGCACAAUGGGGGAAACCCUGAUGCAGCAACGCCGCGUGAGUGAAGGAGUAUUUCGGUAUGUAAAGCUCUAUCAGUAGGGAAGAAGAAAGACGGUACCUGACUAAGAAGCCCCGGCUAACUACGUGCCAGCAGCCGCGGUAAUACGUAGGGGGCAAGCGUUAUCCGGAUUUACUGGGUGUAAAGGGAGCGCAGGCGGCGUGGCAAGUCAGAUGUGAAAACCCGGGGCCCAACCCCGGGAGUGCAUUUGAAACUGCCAUGCUGGAGUGCCGGAGAGGUAAGCGGAAUUCCUAGUGUAGCGGUGAAAUGCGUAGAUAUUAGGAGGAACACCAGUGGCGGAGGCGGCUUACUGGACGGUAACUGACGCUGAGGCUCGAAAGCGUGGGGAGCAAACAGGAUUAGAUACCCCUGUAGUC
This 441-nucleotide ribosomal RNA is filed under the name uncultured bacterium. RNAcentral describes it as "partial 16S ribosomal RNA". It matches the Rfam family "Bacterial small subunit ribosomal RNA", at positions 338 to 795 of the family's 1533-position model. The record is from RNAcentral.